Mustela putorius furo (domestic ferret) is the source of this 378-nucleotide long non-coding RNA. The record is from Ensembl. NCBI's taxonomy places the organism in Eukaryota, Metazoa, Chordata, Mammalia, Carnivora, Mustelidae.
GUAAGUUCCAGACCCAGACCUAAAGAGACAGGCAGCUUCUACUCUCUGCCCAUUGGGAAUGCUUGCUCUUGGACCCCAGCCACCAUUCUGAGAGGAAGCCAAGCAGCCACAUGGACAGGGUACACAUAGGUACUGCGGCCAACAGCCCCAGCUGAGGUCCCGCCAACAGCCAUCCUCAAAUGCCAGACACAGAAAGAGAGAGCACAAGCAGAGGGAGAAGCAGGCUUCCUGCUGAGCAAAGAGCCCGAUGCAGAUUCAAUUCCAGAACCCCAGGAUCACGACCUGAGCUGAAGGCGGAUGCUCAACAGACUGAGCCACCCAGACAACCCAAUGUAAUGUUCUAAAUGCUCAAAAAAAAAAAGGCCAAUAAAUGUGUGA